UACAGGGGGGGCAAGCGUUGUUCGGAAUCACUGGGCGUAAAGCGCACGUAGGCGGAUCUUUAAGUCAGGGGUGAAAUCCCGAGGCUCAACCUCGGAACUGCCUUUGAUACUGGGGAUCUCGAGUCCGGGAGAGGUGAGUGGAACUGCGAGUGUAGAGGUGAAAUUCGUAGAUAUUCGCAAGAACACCAGUGGCGAUGGCGGCUCACUGGCCCGGAACUGACGCUGAGGUGCGAAAGCGUGGGGAGCAAACAGG
RNAcentral lists this ribosomal RNA (253 nucleotides) under uncultured bacterium. Its description in RNAcentral is "partial 16S ribosomal RNA". It matches the Rfam family "Bacterial small subunit ribosomal RNA", at positions 524 to 776 of the family's 1533-position model. The record is from RNAcentral.